RNAcentral lists this transfer RNA (611 nucleotides) under uncultured Prochlorococcus sp. RNAcentral's name for it is "partial contains 16S ribosomal RNA, 16S-23S ribosomal RNA intergenic spacer, and 23S ribosomal RNA". The stretch from base 227 to 299 matches the Rfam family "tRNA". Lineage: Bacteria; Bacillati; Cyanobacteriota; Cyanophyceae; Synechococcales; Prochlorococcaceae. The record is from RNAcentral.
UGGAUCACCUCCUAACAGGGAGACAACAAAAUGUUUAAUAUUAUUAUUUUGUCACCUUAGGUCGAUCGGUAUCUCACGUUCUUAAUUUAUUAAGAAUUUUAUUUCCUAAGUUUUUCUAGGUCACACCCAUUAUUUUUCCUGGGCCAUUAGCUCAGGUGGUUAGAGCGCACCCCUGAUAAGGGUGAGGUCCCUGGUUCAAGUCCAGGAUGGCCCAUAUCUCUAUGUUGGGGGUAUAGCUCAGUUGGUAGAGCGCCUGCUUUGCAAGCAGGAUGUCAGCGGUUCGAGUCCGCUUACCUCCACUGAUUACCACCUCUUCCAUAACCGGUAGAAAGGAAAUGUUUUGAGUUGUGAUCAAAUUCUGAAAGAAUCUAGCUUCCUAAUGAAAUCAUUAAGAUGCUGGACUCAUUGAAUUAACUUCAUUGUUUUCAGAGAACCUUGACAACUGCAUAGAUUAUUUUUAAAGACAAUAAGCAUCUUUAAUGAUGCAGAUUUAUUAUUUGUGCGAAUGCAUUAAUAACAAUUCUAUUAAGCUGAUGCUUCAAUUUUUGAAGUUAUUGGUCAAGCUACAAAGGGCUCACGGAGGAUACCUAGGCACACAGAGGCGAUGAAGG